Molecule: ribosomal RNA, 259 nt
Filed under: uncultured bacterium
Lineage: Bacteria
Description: partial 16S ribosomal RNA
Rfam family: Bacterial small subunit ribosomal RNA
Source: RNAcentral
UACGUAGGCAGCAAGCGUUGUUCGGAAUUACUGGGCGUAAAGAGUGUGUAGGCGGUGCUCCAAGUCUGGUGUGAAAAUCUCCCGGCUUAACUGGGAGGGUGCAUUAGAAACUGGAAUGCUAGAGGAUGGGAGAGGUAAGCGGAAUUCCUGGUGUAGCGGUGAAAAUGCGUAGAUAUCAGGAGGAACACCUGUGGUGUAGACAGCUUACUGGACCAUUUUCUGACGUGAGACACGAAAAGCGUGGGGUAGCAAAACAGGA